Molecule: ribosomal RNA, 399 nt
Filed under: uncultured bacterium
Lineage: Bacteria
Description: bacterial SSU rRNA
Rfam family: Bacterial small subunit ribosomal RNA
Source: RNAcentral
AACGAACGCUGGCGGCGUGGAUAAGACAUGCAAGUCGAACGCUCAUUUGCCUGCAGCAAUGUGGGUGAGUGGGAGUGGCGCAAGGGUGCGUAACACGUGGGUAAUUUGCCGCGAAGUUGGGGAUAACUCGCUGAAAGGCGAGCUAAUACCGGAUGUGGUAGGCUGGUGGCAUCAUUGGCUUCACCAAAGUUGGGGACCCGCAAGGGCCUGACGCUUCGCGAUAAACCCGCGGCCUAUCAGCUAGUUGGUGAGGUAACGGCUCACCAAGGCUAAGACGGGUAGCUGGUCUGAGAGGACGACCAGCCACACUGGAACUGAGAGACGGUCCAGACACCUACGGGUGGCAGCAGUCGAGUAAUUUUUCACAAUGGGCGCAAGCCUGAUGGAGCGACGCCGCGU